Zingiber officinale is the source of this 1274-nucleotide RNA transcript. RefSeq lists it as uncharacterized. The record is from RefSeq and is a predicted model, not a curated record. Lineage: Eukaryota; Viridiplantae; Streptophyta; Magnoliopsida; Zingiberales; Zingiberaceae. The transcript is spliced from 6 exons.
CCUCGAAAUAAAGAAGAGACAAAAAUCAAUCGUCCAGAAGUCACCACGGCGGCAAUGGCGACUGCUUAUCUCCUCUCGUCUCCCUCUCUUUCUCUCGGCCCUCUUCCUCUUCUCAAAAGAGCGCUUCCGUUGCCUGCUUCUUCCCCAAUCCUUCCUCUUGUCUCCUCCUCCGUGGCUUCUUCUUCUUCUUCUUCUAGAAGGGUCUCCUCCACCUCAGCUUCCACCUCCUCCUCAGCCAUCUCCCGGGCACGAUCCUCCUCCAGGCGCGGCGCCGUCGGCGGCGGAUCACAGCCUACGCUCGACGAUUCGACUGCAGUUUAUCAGGGGAGUUACGGGCCCUGGUCCGUAGAGCCCUCCGACGUCCGCGAGGUUAUAUUAUAUAGGUCAGGAUUGGUCACUGCUGCCAUAUCAUUCGUUCUUGCUGCUUCUUCUGCUUUUAUACCUGAAGGCAACGUAGUGGGGGAUAUCAUCAGACAAGAUAGAGAUUUCUUGUAUACCAUUGGAGCUGGAGGACUUGGUCUAUCACUUCUACUAAUUCACAUUUAUGUCACUCCUAUCAAGAGAUUUCUACAGUUACUCUGGAUGCUUGGUGUGUGUGGUUCACUCGGAGCUUAUUUAACUGCCGCUAAGCCUCUUAAUGAAAGUUUGAUAGAUUAUGUCAUAAACAACCCAACUGCUGUAUGGUUUGUUGGGCCUCUCUUUGCAGCAUUGACUGGUCUGGUUUUUAAAGAAGGUCAUGUCUGCACUAUGCAAGUAGGCAUGUGGUCUCUGCUAUGGGAAGUUGGAAGCUGGCAUCCUGACUUUCAUCAUCCCAGGACUCCUCCUUGGACAUCUGACAGGUCUACUUGAUGACGGAGCAAAAUUAGGCUUGUUGGGUGUAUGGAUGGCACUCUUUGUGGUUUUUGCAGCAAGGAAGUUUCAACAACCAAUUAAGGACGAUAUCGGUGAUAAAUCUGUGUUCAUGUUCAAUGCUCUUCCUGAAGAAGAAAGGAAGGCUUUGCUCGAGAAGCUGGAGCAGCAACUUGAAUAAACACUACCGAAACAGUGUCCAAACCACGACAUCUAAAACUUGGCUUUUGAAUCCCACUGCCUGCAGAAUAAAGUAUAGUUGGUUUUAGCAGAUGAUAAUUUGUAAAUAGUCAGCUAUGUGUUGCAGUUUGAUACAAUCUGUGGAUCCAUGAGCCAUAGUAGCGUUCUAUGUUUUUGGUCAGUGAUGUUAUUCUGGAGAUGUUGUAGAUUAUACUCCAUAAUGCCUUUUCCAACUUGCCUUGAUU